GGGCCUUAGGUCUAGUGGUAUGAUUUUCGCUUUGGGUGCGAGAGGUCCUGAGUUAGAUUCUCGGAACCCCCC
RNAcentral lists this transfer RNA (72 nucleotides) under Nicotiana sylvestris (wood tobacco). It matches the Rfam family "tRNA". Rfam says of the family: Transfer RNA (tRNA) molecules are approximately 80 nucleotides in length. Their secondary structure includes four short double-helical elements and three loops (D, anti-codon, and T loops). Lineage: Eukaryota; Viridiplantae; Streptophyta; Magnoliopsida; Solanales; Solanaceae. The record is from Rfam by way of RNAcentral.